Molecule: long non-coding RNA, 252 nt
Organism: Schistocerca piceifrons (Central American locust)
Lineage: Eukaryota; Metazoa; Arthropoda; Insecta; Orthoptera; Acrididae
Exons: 3
Source: RefSeq, a predicted model, not a curated record
GCCAAGCCCGGUACGCCGCAGUUCGCGACACCGUCAAGAGUGUUCACCCGUGUCCUUGAUCACUGGAACAAACGGAAGAAUGCUUCGAUGAAUGACGCGGCAUUGUUACGUUCUGAAGGAGCCGAGUGUUGCCGCGGGCCGAAGGGCAGGCCAGGCAGAAACAGCCACAAGUCUGUACAAUGCUUCACACAAACCAGGACAUGCCUCAAAACACAUACUUCAGCAGGGGCUACAGCCACCAUUUUCCCAUUU